GUCGAGAAUCUUCCGCAAUGGACGAAAGUCUGACGGAGCGACGCCGCGUGGAGGACGAAGGCAUUAGUGUUGUAAACUCCUGUCACGAAUUAUGAAUGUGCAGGCGAUAAUCUCGUCUGCAUUGACGUAAGUUCGAGAGGAAGCACCGGCUAACUCUGUGCCAGCAGCCGCGGUAAUACAGAGGGUGCGAACGUUGUUCGGAAUUACUGGGCAUAAAGCGCGCGUAGGCGGUCCGCUAAGUGUGGAGUGAAAGCCCGCGGCUUACCCGUGGAAUGGCUCUGCAUACUGGCGAACUAGAGGAUGGUAGGGGAGAGCGGAACUCUUGGUGGAGCGGUGAAAUGCGUAGAUAUCAAGAGGAACACCGAUGGCGAAGGCAGCUCUCUGGUCCAUUUCUGACGCUGAGGCGCGAAAGCUAGGGUAGCAAACGGGAUUAGAUACCCGAGUAGUCC
This 449-nucleotide ribosomal RNA is filed under the name uncultured bacterium. RNAcentral describes it as "bacterial SSU rRNA". It matches the Rfam family "Bacterial small subunit ribosomal RNA", at positions 354 to 796 of the family's 1533-position model. The record is from RNAcentral.